AAUGCAAUGAUGCAAAUGAGUGUCAUUCCAGAAGUUCUUAAAAGCUGCAAAACACUCACUAUCAGGGUAGAUGGCUAUGCUAACGAGCUAUCUAGCUGGUAGCUUUAGCGUUCAUCACAGGUUUGUUUAAUGGUGCACUCGAGUUAAUUCUAGUGAUAUGGCACAUAGGAAACAAGUAUUCCAGUCUAAGGUUCUUCAGAGGCUGUACCUUACCUCCCAGGCCUGCGAAAGAAUCCAGCGCUCCAUCGCCUGAGACCUCUGAAACAAAAAGUAGGCCUAGAGGAGGAGGCCACUAUCACUGUUGAGAACACUCAUGAGUCCAACAAAGAUGAAGAGGUAGAAGGAGACAAUGGGGGAAGAAGGAGAAAUGGGAACUAUAGCUCCAGGAGGUGGGACAGUGGUGGCCCGGGUGGACAGAGCGGGCCAGGUUACAGAAUCCAACCCUGGGGACCCCCAUGGAGGAAGGAGUCUGGCUCAACAAGAAGAAGAAGAGGAGGAAGCUGAAGAAGAAACAUCAUAAACAGAAGCUCUUGUAUCUAGGUCUGGUGCCCCGUGCUGCAGCUCAAGUUCACCUACGAGAGCGAGGAGGAUGGGAGGGGGGGAGGAAGAGAUGAGGCAGAGAAGAGCAGCUGAAGUGAUAAUCUUCCUCAGGACCACACAAGAUCUACGUGUCUGAUUGUUCAUCUGGUAGUGGAGGGUCUUCUGACCAGCCUGUACAAUGGAACAUUCCUCCCCUGCUGUUUUGGCCCAGCUCCACAGCCUCUAGUCCCUGGUGCAGCAACAGGACACAGCAAGGAUGGCAAAGAAUCUGCAGGAGCUCCAGAACAGCUCUACCAUGUCUACUGGUGAGUAGUCUUAUCUGGUUUUACCUCGCCUGGAUUAACCUGCGUUUGUCUGAGCUCGCCAUUCGCGUACACAUGCAUACAGUCACCGGUCAGUAUCAGCCCUCACCUGUCCUUAAAUACCAGACCACACCUGUCUAUACUAUCACUUACCUAUACAUGCAUGCUCUCACCUAUCUAAACACUAACCAGUUUGAAAAUCACCAGCGUCUCCUGCCAUUCAUUCACCUGGAGUUUCACCCAAGAGCUGCCAGGAGACCACACUUUGUACAGGUCUAGGAAUUGUGAACGAGAUGACCUCAGGUGAUGCCACUGCAGUUGUGUCCCUGUUUCAGUACUGGAUCACAGACAAUCCCGCCCAUGCCGAGAGAAUGGAAAACAGGCCAACCUACAACAUAACCUUCCUAGUCGAGCCAACCAACAACACAGCCUUAGACUUUCCUAGAUGUUCAGGGUUUUAAACAACACUGCUGACGGAAAACUUGUCUGACUUAAUUCAUUGUGAGCCCAUGUAACAGAGUUAAGUACAUACCGUAAGCUCACUCCACAGCUAGCUUGAAAUGUCGCGGAUGGAGCCAUCCAAUCGGUACCUUUUGGGUGGCUCAAACCGUUGGAAUGUUGUCAAGGAGGGCGGCCACGUGUGUUUACAAAGCAGAGGUCCCGAGUUUGAGCCGGGUACGAGCCGAAUCAGGGGGAAGUGAUACCAGACACAAUUAAUUAACCGUUUAAUAGAUUUUCCCCACAGAAAAGUGUGGCGAGCGAGCGUAUAAAAACAUUAAGUGGAUAAGGAAUAACAGUACUUUACCACAUUGUCCUAUGCACCUGUGCGGGCUCUAGGUCUAGUGUGAGCUUCAAGAGUUAUAUUAUUCCAUGUGAAAACCUACACUAUUUUUCUGUUACAAUGUUGUUAUAACCAUGAGAAAUGAAACAGACUAAAGUAUAGCUUGUGACAGUUUCGUUAUUCCUGAUAAAAAAAAAACGUCUCUCUGAUACACACAACCGUUCAAAAGUUUAGGGUCACUUAGAAAUGUCCUUGUUUUUGAAAGAAAAGAGAAGAGAAAAAAAAGUCCAUUAAAAUAACAUCCAAUUGAUCAGAAAUACAGUGUAGACAUUGUUAUAAAUGACUUCUUUUUUUAAUGGAAUAUCUACAUAGCCGUACAGAGGCCCAUUAUCAGCAACCAUCACUCCUGUGUUAGCUAAUCUUAAAUGUAUCCUUUUAAAAGGCUAAUUGAUCAUUAGAAAACAC
This 2088-nucleotide long non-coding RNA is filed under the name Salmo salar (Atlantic salmon). RNAcentral describes it as "lncRNA (ENSSSAG00000082279.1)". The record is from RNAcentral. Lineage: Eukaryota; Metazoa; Chordata; Actinopteri; Salmoniformes; Salmonidae.